GAAGAUCAUACUGCAUGUAGUCCACACGCCCGUAGUAUACCUAAGAGUGGGUGUGUAGCAAUUAGUUUUGCCAGAGGACGGUUGGCGAGAGUUUAUCACUCUUGUUUGCCUACUUUUGGUAGACUUUAGUCGGGCUGGACCUUUGGUCCUCGUCUGACAGUUGCUACGUGCUUACUUACCACGGUUCAUCCGUGAGGCCCUUGGCUUGCAACUGUAAAUAAAUCGUUGUGCUUAAAGCGGGCUAUGAUACUCUGCCAGAGCGAUUUAGCAUGGGACUGCAGAGUAGCUGUAUUUGGAUGAAGGUUGUGUUUCGGCAUGGCUGGAGUCUGGUACAGCGCUUGUAAUGGAGCUCAGGGUGAGGCCCCGGGUACCAUGAGGCUAGAGGUGAAAUUCUGAGACCCUCAUGUGACCAACUAAGGCGAAAGCUGUCGUGGGCCACCACAAGCUCGUCUAUCAGGGACGAAAGUUGGGGGAUCGAAGACGAUUAGAUACCGUCGUAGUCCCAACUAUAAACGAUACCAACCGAGUAUUUGGGAAGACACUAUCCCAGCGAUCUUCUCAGAACUCAAGGGAAACCUUAAGUCUUUGGGUUCUGGGGGGAGUAUAGUCGCAAGACCGAAACUUAAAGGAAUUGACGGAAAGGCACCACCAGGAGUGGAGUCUGCGGCUUAAUUCGACUCAACACGGGGAAACUCACCAGGUCAGGACACAAGUUUGAUUGACAGGUUAAUAGCCCUUUCUUGAUUGUGUGGUGGGGUAGUGCAUGGCCGUUUCCAGUUCGUGGAGUGAUCUGUCUUGUUAAUUCAGUUAACGAACGGACCCUUAUACGUGUGAAACUUUUGAAUGUUAA
RNAcentral lists this ribosomal RNA (850 nucleotides) under uncultured amoeba. RNAcentral describes it as "SSU rRNA". It matches the Rfam family "Eukaryotic small subunit ribosomal RNA", at positions 599 to 1371 of the family's 1831-position model. The record is from RNAcentral.